CCUACGGGGUGCAGCAGUGAGGAAUAUUGGUCAAUGGACGAGAGUCUGAACCAGCCAAGUAGCGUGAAGGAUGACUGCCCUAUGGGUUGUAAACUUCUUUUAUAUGGGAAUAAAAUGUUCCACGUGUGGGAUUUUGUAUGUACCAUAUGAAUAAGGAUCGGCUAACUCCGUGCCAGCAGCCGCGGUAAUACGGAGGAUCCUAGCGUUAUCCGGAUUUAUUGGGUUUAAAGGGAGCGUAGGUGGAUUGUUAAGUCAGUUGUGAAAGUUUGCGGCUCAACCGUAAAAUUGCAGUUGAAACUGGCAGUCUUGAGUACAGUAGAGGUGGGCGGAAUUCGUGGUGUAGCGGUGAAAUGCUUAGAUAUCCCGAAGAACUCCGAUUGCGAAGGCAGUUCACUGGACUGCAACUGACACUGAGGCUCGAAAGUGUGGGUAUCAAACAGGAUUAGAUACCCCGGUAGUC
Molecule: ribosomal RNA, 460 nt
Filed under: uncultured bacterium
Lineage: Bacteria
Description: partial 16S ribosomal RNA
Rfam family: Bacterial small subunit ribosomal RNA
Source: RNAcentral